This 402-nucleotide ribosomal RNA is filed under the name Bacteroidota bacterium. RNAcentral describes it as "Bacteroidetes bacterium partial 16S ribosomal RNA". It matches the Rfam family "Bacterial small subunit ribosomal RNA", at positions 355 to 776 of the family's 1533-position model. Lineage: Bacteria; Pseudomonadati; Bacteroidota. The record is from RNAcentral.
UGGGGAAUUUUGCACAAUGGGGGAAACCCUGAUGCAGCGACGCCGCGUGAUUUAGAAGGCCUUCGGGUUGUAAAAAUCUUUUGUAUAGGAAGAAAAUGACAGUACUAUACGAAUAAGGACCGGCUAAUUACGUGCCAGCAGCCGCGGUAAUACGUAAGGUCCGAGCGUUGUCCGGAAUCAUUGGGCGUAAAGGGUACGUAGGCGGGUAAGCAAGUUAGAAGUGAAAUCCUGUAGCUCAACUACAGUAAGCUUUUAAAACUGCUCAUCUUGAGAUAUGGAAGGGAAAGGGGAAUUCCUAGUGUAGCGGUGAAAUGCGCAGAUUGUAGGAGGAAUACCGGGGGCGAAGGCGACUUUCUGGCCAUAAUCUGACGCUGGGGUACGAAAGCGUGGGUAGCAAACAGG